GAGAGGAGGAGGAAGAGCUUGGCUGAGAGUGAGAGGAGGAGGAAGAGUACUCUCUAAUGAAAUGAAAUGUUAUCAACCAUGGUUUGACGAUGAGAGAGGCUGGACAGAGGGUUAAUCUAAGCCGAUGUACUGUUGCCUCUGUAAUCCGGACACUUAGACUUGAAAACAGGACUGAGAAACAAAGAGGUGCAGGUGGAAAGCUCAGGGUUUUCAAUGAGGCAGGAAGCAGCAGUUACAAACUGGGUUUUGGCAAACAAUGCCAUCACACUUAGAGAGAUCCAAAGCAUACGUGCUGAGAUGCAUGUUGCACCAUGUUAUAAUUGAAUAAAAUAUGAUUUUUGUACUCA
This is a long non-coding RNA of Trematomus bernacchii (emerald rockcod), 347 nucleotides long. RefSeq lists it as uncharacterized. The transcript has 2 exons. NCBI's taxonomy places the organism in Eukaryota, Metazoa, Chordata, Actinopteri, Perciformes, Nototheniidae. The record is from RefSeq and is a predicted model, not a curated record.